RNAcentral lists this ribosomal RNA (253 nucleotides) under uncultured bacterium. Its description in RNAcentral is "partial 16S ribosomal RNA". It matches the Rfam family "Bacterial small subunit ribosomal RNA", at positions 524 to 776 of the family's 1533-position model. The record is from RNAcentral.
UACAGAGGUCCCAAGCGUUGUUCGGAUUCACUGGGCGUAAAGGGUGCGUAGGUGGUUGCGCAAGUCUGAUGUGAAAUCUCCGGGCUCAACCCGGAAAUGGCAUUGGAAACUGCGUGGCUAGAGGGUUGGAGGGGGGACUGGAAUACUUGGUGUAGCAGUGAUAUGCGUAGAUAUCAAGUGGAACACCAGUGGCGAAGGCGAGUCCCUGGACAACACCUGACACUGAGGCACGAAAGCUAGGGGAGCAAACAGG